This 68-nucleotide transfer RNA is filed under the name Ombrastacoides huonensis. RNAcentral describes it as "tRNA-Ser". Lineage: Eukaryota; Metazoa; Arthropoda; Malacostraca; Decapoda; Parastacidae. The record is from RNAcentral.
AAGAGAACAAUGACAAAGAAAAAGCUUCUAACUUAACUCUUGAGCGGUUAAAUUCCGUUCUUUUCUUU